This 465-nucleotide ribosomal RNA is filed under the name uncultured bacterium. RNAcentral describes it as "partial 16S ribosomal RNA". It matches the Rfam family "Bacterial small subunit ribosomal RNA", at positions 28 to 507 of the family's 1533-position model. The record is from RNAcentral.
GACGAACGCUGGCGGCGUGCUUAACACAUGCAAGUCGAACGGAAAGGCCCCUUUGGGGGUACUCGAGUGGCGAACGGGUGAGUAACACGUGAGUAACCUGCCCUUGACUUCGGGAUAACUUCAGGAAACUGGGGCUAAUACCGGAUAGGAAUCCUUGCUGCAUGGUGGGGGUUGGAAAGCUUCGGCGGUUUUGGAUGGACUCGCGGCUUAUCAGCUUGUUGGUGGGGUAGUGGCUUACCAAGGCUUUGACGGGUAGCCGGCCUGAGAGGGCGACCGGCCACAUUGGGACUGAGAUACGGCCCAGACUCCUACGGGAGGCAGCAGUGGGGAAUAUUGCACAAUGGGCGGAAGCCUGAGGCAGGAACGCCGCGGGCGGGAGGACGGCCUUCGGGUUGUAAACCGCGUUCAGCAGGGGCGAAGCUUGGGGUGACGGUACCUGCAGAAGAAGCACCGGCUAACUACGUG